RNAcentral lists this ribosomal RNA (420 nucleotides) under uncultured eukaryote. Its description in RNAcentral is "bacterial SSU rRNA". It matches the Rfam family "Eukaryotic small subunit ribosomal RNA", at positions 623 to 1051 of the family's 1831-position model. The record is from RNAcentral.
AAAGCUCGUAGUUGGGAGUCAGGGUGAGCUCAGCUGGUCGGCCUAAUGGGUCAGAACUGGUUGACUCUCCCUUGGUUGUGGAUCCCUCCGGAGUUAAUUCUUCGGGUGUGGAGUCCACAUCGUUUACCUUGAAAAAAUUAGAGUGUUCAAAGCAGGCGUUUGCUUGAAUAUAUUAGCAUGGAAUAAUGGAAUAGGACGCUGGUUCUAUUUUGUUGGUUUUGAGAACCAGAGUAAUGAUUAAUAGGGACAGUUGGGGGCAUUCAUAUUUCAUUGUCAGAGGUGAAAUUCUUGGAUUUAUGAAAGAUGAACUUCUGCGAAAGCAUUUGCCAAGGAUGUUUUCAUUAAUCAAGAACGAAAGUUAGGGGAUCGAAGACGAUCAGAUACCGUCGUAGUCUGAACCAUAAACUAUGCCGACUAGGG